CUCUCCCUCCCGUUACCCAAGCCCGUCUGAACCCUUACCUAUUCGGACUCUCGACCCUUAAAAAAAAAUCUCUCUCUGUGAGAUCGGAGCCAGCCAUGUCCGACGAGGAGCACCACUUCGAGUCUAAGGCCGACGCCGGAGCCUCCAAGACCUCUCCUCAACAUUUCGUAGUUUGACUGAAUGGGACGAGAGCGAUUCGAUUCCCUCCAAACGUUUCCUGAAAUCGUUUUCAAUAACUCAAAUUCAAAGAUCAAAGCAGCAGCGAAGGAAUUGGGUUGCUAUCGUUCACUGUGAGCCAUGAAUGCUCGAAGAUUAGCCCGUUAUAAAUCCGAUUGAUUUCAUCUUUAAUAAUUUUCUGCUUCUAGUUCCUGAACAUUAUCAGUUAUGUAUCUGCCAGAUCUUGCUGUUACCGAAAUAGUAAUUUCAUGUUUUUGAUUUGUGCAUAAAGUAGUGAUUGUGUAGGAAGUGCUAAUUGAAUGAUGAACAAACAGAAUUCGGCUUCUUCGUCUUCCCGCAGUUAAUGAUUAAGCUUAUGUCUAAGAAUUUUGAGCUAUUAGAGAAUAGUGAGAUAUGUAUCUGCAGUUUUUGUGUGAUACUCGGUUCUCUAUUUGUUUCAAUGCGCAACGUUUGUCAUAGGGAAGGUUUAUUCUACAUAGCUCAAAUAAUUACAAUUGCAACAACAUAAAUUGUAGCAGAUAGAUUCAAAGAUGGCCCACUAGAUAAGCUUAGAGGUGAUCAUAAAUUUGUAUUAUGUCACAGGUUGAUUCUUGAGUUGAGUUUAUUUUAAAACAAUUUCGGGUGAUGAUUAGAUUUCACACAAGCUAUUAUAUGAAAGUAAAAAAUUAGGAGGGAUCAAAACUAUAUGGAAAGAAAUUAUGUGAAAAGAUCCAAGAAGAAUUAGAUAUAUCAAGAGAUACAGCAGCAUAUAACAGAAAAGAGUGGAAGAUGAUAAUAUCACUUCGAUUGACCUCAUAUGACUUGGAAAAAGGCUAGGAUACAGAAGGGAGGAUUUAUGUCAAUGCUCAAGUUGUGUCAUCUGUUCAUGUCAAUGCUCAAGUUGCAAAUCACGAAAUUGCUGGCAGUCAUCAGUUCAAAACGCUGUAUAUGGUAGGAGAUAAUCCCUUAGUUGACAUCAAGGGUGCACGACAGGCUGGCCAUCCCUGGUUUUCCAUUCUGACAAGGACUGGAGUUUUCAAGGGAAAGGAAAAUCAUGACGAGUUUCCAGCUGAUCUGGUUGUUGAUACUGUCGAAGAAGCUGUGGACUAUGUUUUGAAAAAGGAGUCGAUCUCUUAGAUUCUACACUUAUAUUUCUCCCCCUAGGUUUUGAUAUUUUUUGGCAGAUUUUUCUUUCGUUACAAUAAUAUCUCGAUCAUGAGAACAUCCAAACACUAGAAUUCUUUUGCUGCAAUUUUUUUUUAAAAUUGUGGAAGUUAGGUUCUUGAUUUGGGAUCAAUUCAUGGUCUCACUCAUGUUCAUAUAUAUUAUUGGAACCAAAUUGUAUUCCAUACAUGUUUGGAUAAAAUGAAAAUUUUGAUUUAGGUACUGCAUGCUUUAUUAUGCCUCCAAGGUUCAAACUUGUUCAUUAUUUAGUUUCCUCCAAUACUCCUUGAUCAAGGGUUACACGUCAGUUUUCUGUUCAAGUCAGAAAAAAAUGGCCUUGCACUUUCCAUUUUACUAUACAAUUGGUCAUAUACUUGAGAUUUUUAUUUUUGCCCCACACCUCGUUCAAUAUGCAAAUCAUAUAUUGAGAGCUUGUGGAAUUGAUCUGGGAUGCUUGUUAAUGAAAUGAUUUGCAUUGCCUAGUAGUGCAUGACAGCAAUUUCAACUUUAACAUUUCACAGUGCCUCAGUUUUUUACGUUUGUCACUGGCCAUGUCACUGGCCAGUGACAUUUUUUUUUUCUUUAUUGAUGUACUGAGUAGACACUAAAUAUAUACUAGGUUUGAUGCUGAAAUAUGCAUAUAGGCUGAGAUAUUCAUGUCAGUUACAUCCAAUUCAGGGCACUGGUUAAGUCACUGGCCAUGUCAUAGUCAUGAACAUGUAACUGAUCAUGUAACUGUCAAAGUCACUGACUAUUUUCUCAUUUUCACAAUUUU
Molecule: RNA transcript, 2095 nt
Organism: Rosa rugosa (rugosa rose)
Lineage: Eukaryota; Viridiplantae; Streptophyta; Magnoliopsida; Rosales; Rosaceae
Gene name: cardiolipin synthase (CMP-forming) / mitochondrial hydrolase fusion protein-like
Exons: 4
Source: RefSeq, a predicted model, not a curated record